RNAcentral lists this ribosomal RNA (377 nucleotides) under uncultured eukaryote. RNAcentral's name for it is "partial 18S ribosomal RNA". It matches the Rfam family "Eukaryotic small subunit ribosomal RNA", at positions 592 to 976 of the family's 1831-position model. The record is from RNAcentral.
CAAUAGCGUAUAUUUAAGUUGUUGCAGUUAAAAAGCUCGUAGUUGGAUUUCGGGUGGGAAUGGCCGGUCCUCCGUUUCGGUGUGCACUUGCUACGCCCACCUUGCUGCCGGGGACGUGCUCUUGAGUUCACGCUCGGGACACGGAGUCGGCGAGGUUACUUUGAGUAAAUUAGAGUGUUCAAAGCAGGCCUACGCUCUGAAUACAUUAGCAUGGAAUAACACGAUAGGACUCUGGCCUAUCUUGUUGGUCUGUAGGACCGGAGUAAUGAUUAAGAGGGACAGUCGGGGGCAUUCGUAUUUCAUUGUCAGAGGUGAAAUUCUUGGAUUUAUGAAAGACGAACUACUGCGAAAGCAUUUGCCAAGGAUGUUUUCAUUAA